This 253-nucleotide ribosomal RNA is filed under the name uncultured bacterium. RNAcentral describes it as "partial 16S ribosomal RNA". It matches the Rfam family "Bacterial small subunit ribosomal RNA", at positions 524 to 776 of the family's 1533-position model. The record is from RNAcentral.
UACGAAGGGUGCAAGCGUUAUCCGGAUUCACUGGGUUUAAAGGGUGCGUAGGAGGGCAGGUAAGUCAGUGGUGAAAUCUCCAAGCUUAACUUGGAAACUGCCGUUGAUACUAUCUGUCUUGAAUACCGUGGAGGUGAGCGGAAUAUGUCAUGUAGCGGUGAAAUGCUUAGAUAUGACAUAGAACACCAAUUGCGAAGGCAGCUCGCUACACGAAUAUUGACUCUGAGGCACGAAAGCGUGGGGAUCAAACAGG